This 400-nucleotide RNase P RNA is filed under the name Planctomycetia bacterium. Its description in RNAcentral is "RNase P RNA component class A". It matches the Rfam family "Bacterial RNase P class A". From Rfam's summary of the family: Ribonuclease P (RNase P) is a ubiquitous endoribonuclease, found in archaea, bacteria and eukarya as well as chloroplasts and mitochondria. Its best characterised activity is the generation of mature 5'-ends of tRNAs by cleaving the 5'-leader elements of precursor-tRNAs. Cellular RNase Ps are ribonucleoproteins. Lineage: Bacteria; Pseudomonadati; Planctomycetota; Planctomycetia. The record is from RNAcentral.
AAAGAGGAACGGAAGACCGCCGACGCAAGUUGGAGGAAAGUCCGGACACCACAGAACACGGUGAUGGAUAACGUCCACCGAUCGCAAGGUCAGGGAAAGUGCAACAGAAAAGAUACCGCCGGAAGAUUCCUGUUUUUGGGAACUUCCGGUAAGGGUGAAAUGGUAAGGUAAGAGCUUACCGGCGUGCGGGCGACCGUACGGCCUGGCAAACCCCACCGGGUGCAAUGCCAAAUAGGGAAGGAAUUGGCGACUUUCGCUUUUAUUUUUUUAUGGCGGAACGAGCCUGCGUCGUUGUUCGCGGCGUCCGACUUCCGGGUUGGCAGCUUGAGACGCCCAGCAAUGGAACGUCCAGAUAAAUGGUCUUCGAUUACAGAAUCCGGCUUAUAGUUCCUCUUUCUUU